AGCAUGUAGAGUACAAAAUGAAUCAGGAACUGAAGAGGUUAUAUUCUGGGUGAGUCUUGUCCAAAAGCAGCUUCAACGAGCUAUAGAUCGAGAGAGAAUAUGGUCCAGACUCACCACAAGUGAGAGUAUCGAGGUUCUGGAAAAGGAUCUGGCCAUAUUUGGUUUCUUUAUUGCUUUGGGAAGAAGCACAAAGGCUUUUCUUUCUGAAAAUGGAUUUGAUACUCUUGACGAGCCAAUUGAAGAAUUAAUUAGGUAUCUAAUUGGGGGCAGUGUACUGUAUUAUCCUCAACUUGCAUCAAUAAGUUCUUAUCAACUGUACGUGGAGGUUGUGUGUGAAGAGCUAGACUGGCUUCCUUUUUAUCCAGGCAUUACUGCUAAUUUUAUCCGUAAUACUGGGCACAAAAGUAAACAAGAAGUUCCUCCAAAUUUAGAAGCCAUUCCACUAGUAUUAGACGUGUGCUCUUACUGGAUCCAGAGUUUCAUUAAAUAUAGUAAAUGGCUGGAGAACCCUUCUCAUGUCAAGGCAGCAAGAUUCCUUUCAACUGGGCACAACAAGCUUAAGAAGUGCAGAGAGGAUCUCGGAAUUGAGAAGACUCGCGUGGGAGCUUAUUCACAGAUCAAGAAAGAAACAGAUUCCUUUGAUAAGGCACUGGAGAGUGUCGAAGAGGCUUUGGUAAGGCUAGAGGUAUUGCUUCAAGAACUGCAUAUGUCAAGUGCUAGUUCACAGAAGGAGCACUUGAAAGCUGCAUGUUCUGACCUUGAAAGGAUUCGUAGAAUUAAAAAAGAGGCUGAAUUUCUUGAGGUUUCAUUUAGAACGAAGGCAGCUUUCCUACAGCAGGAGGAAGAUGCUACUAUGUCUACAUCAUCAAGUGGGGACAAGCAACAGUUCUCUAAACGCAAGGACAACAAGGAUGGUCAAAAUAGGAGUGGGAAUAACAGGAUACAGGGAUUAUGGAGCUUCGUUGGUCGUCGGCCUAGCAAAUCAGCAGACCAGGCAUCAUCGACUCCUAAUGAGAUUAGUGAUGAUGGCUCUAAAGAACUUUCAGAGAGUACAGGCGUUAUGGAUUCAAAGUCAACUGAAGUUCGAAGGUUUGAACUAUUAAGGAGUGAGCUAAUGGAACUGGAGAAGCGGGUUCAAAGAAGUGCUGAUCAAUAUGAGUAUGAGGAGGAGGAAAGUCAGAAGGUGGAUCGCACUUCCACGCAUCCUGCAGGAGCUGAAAGAACUCAAUUGGUUCUUCAGAAGAAAAAGGAGAGUGUUAUUGAGAAAUCCUUAGACAAACUGAAAGAAACUAGCACGGAUGUUUGGCAAGGAACUCAGCUUCUCGCUAUCGAUGUUGCUGCAGCUUUAGGGCUACUUCGGAGGUCCAUAGUAGGGGAUGAGUUGACAGAAAAAGAGAAACAAGCAUUGCGGAGAACUUUAACUGACUUGGCAUCAGUUGUACCUAUUGGAUUUCUUAUGCUUCUCCCUGUUACAGCAGUUGGGCAUGCUGCUAUGUUGGCUGGAAUUCGAAGAUACAUGCCAUCUCUGAUACCUUCUACAUAUGGACCAGACAGAUUAGCCCUCCUAAGGCAGCUUGAGAAAGUCAAGGAAAUGGGAACUGAGGUGAAUCCAACUGAAAAGGCUGAUGAAUAGCCCAGGUUAAAGCAUACGAAAACAGCUAUUCAUAUAGUUCCACCGUCAAAUUCAUUUCAACUUGGUUUUAUAUCCAUUCAACAGUAGAUAGGCGUAAAGAAGUUCAUUCCAAGAGUCUGGCACUCCCGGUAGGCACCAGUGGCUGCAGUCUUGUGGCGCACCAGCCGGGGUGCCAGGUUCACGAUAUUCUGAAGGGUGACCAUCUUUCCUGAACUCACUUAGAUAUGUGAUGUUUAGGAAGGUCAUGUUUCUUCUUGUAUUUUGCAUUUUCUCAACUACCUCAGAAAUGAAUAUGUUGUUGGUUGGCUCUUUCUCCAGCUUAGUAUAGUCUGUUUCCGG
Molecule: unclassified non-coding RNA, 1972 nt
Filed under: Hevea brasiliensis (rubber tree)
Lineage: Eukaryota; Viridiplantae; Streptophyta; Magnoliopsida; Malpighiales; Euphorbiaceae
Source: RNAcentral